RNAcentral lists this ribosomal RNA (375 nucleotides) under uncultured eukaryote. RNAcentral's name for it is "SSU rRNA". It matches the Rfam family "Eukaryotic small subunit ribosomal RNA", at positions 587 to 972 of the family's 1831-position model. The record is from RNAcentral.
AGCUCCAAUAGCGUAUAUUAAAGUUGUUGCAGUUAAAAAGCUCGUAGUUGAAUUUCUGUCAAGUCUCGUCUGCGUGCAAAUUGUACUGCAAGGCCUGAUUUGAUAUCCUUCAGGUGUUGCGAAUUGCUUAAUUGUAGUUCGGAGCGUCCUGGACAGUUACUUUGAGAAAAUUAGAGUGUUUCAAGCAGGCAUCCGCCUUGAAUACUACAGCAUGGAAUAAUAAGAUAGGACUUUGGUUCUUUCUUGUUGGUUCGGAGAACUAAGGUAAUGAUUAACAGGGACAGUCGGGGGCAUUCGUAUUUAACUGUCAGAGGUGAAAUUCUUAGAUUUGUUAAAGACGAACUACUGCGAAAGCAUUUGCCAAGGAUGUUCCCA